GUGCUUGCUUUGGAAGCACAUAUACUAAAAUUGGAACAAUACAGAGAAGAUUAGCCUGACCCCUGUACAGGAUGACAUUCAAAUUCAAGAAGCAUUCCAUAUUUUU
Molecule: small nuclear RNA, 106 nt
Filed under: Microcebus murinus (gray mouse lemur)
Lineage: Eukaryota; Metazoa; Chordata; Mammalia; Primates; Cheirogaleidae
Source: RNAcentral